CAAUAGCGUAUAUUUAAGUUGCUGCAGUUAAAAAGCUCGUAGUUGGAUUUCGGGUGGGAAUGGCCGGUCCGCCGUUUCGGUGUGCACUUGCUACGCCCACCUUGCUGCCGGGGACGUGCUCUUGAGUUCACGCUCGGGACACGGAGUCGGCGAGGUUACUUUGAGUAAAUUAGAGUGUUCAAAGCAGGCCUACGCUCUGAAUACAUUAGCAUGGAAUAACACGAUAGGACUCUGGCCUAUCUUGUUGGUCUGUAGGACCGGAGUAAUGAUUAAGAGGGACAGUCGGGGGCAUUCGUAUUUCAUUGUCAGAGGUGAAAUUCUUGGAUUUAUGAAAGACGAACUACUGCGAAAGCAUUUACCAGGGAUGUUUUCAUUAA
Molecule: ribosomal RNA, 377 nt
Filed under: uncultured eukaryote
Lineage: Eukaryota
Description: partial 18S ribosomal RNA
Rfam family: Eukaryotic small subunit ribosomal RNA
Source: RNAcentral